This 337-nucleotide long non-coding RNA is filed under the name Dromaius novaehollandiae (emu). RNAcentral describes it as "lncRNA (ENSDNVG00000010085.1)". Lineage: Eukaryota; Metazoa; Chordata; Aves; Casuariiformes; Dromaiidae. The record is from RNAcentral.
UAGAGCUUAUCAUUGAACUUGCAUACGGCAGCCAGAAGGAUAAAAAAUGCGGUUUGGGGAGUAGGAAGGAAGGAGAGAAUUGAUCUGUAUAAGAAUCUACUCACCUCUACCUUUAUCCAUUAUCCUCCAAGAUGAAUUUAGGUCAGUCCAGUUAAGAGCCUGGACACACAACAAAAUGAUCGAGGACGUAGAAUCUGAAAGAGAAAUCUCAAGAACGUUAAUGCAGAGCAGCGUAGAUCCAGUCUCUGGGGAGCAGUGCACUGCUGAGUCCAAGUUUACACUGCACUCAGACGUGUGGAGCAGCUGGGAAGCUAAAGCAACCUAGAGUUAGAAACAU